AUUUUUAAAAUAGUCGUGUUUUUUAUAUAUUAAGCGGGACUGUUUUCGUAUCCCUCAUUCAUAGCUAUGCAACGAAAUACCCGGGCAAGCUUGAUUCAGUGGACAAGGUACGUUAUUGGGUUUUACUAGAGACAGAUGUGCAGAAUAUUGGUAAGAACCUUCUUUCCCCACUUUAAACUUUUCAUUACAUUUUUUCUUAAACAUCACAUAGUAAAAAUAAGUGCUAUGCGUUUGAAUUUUUCAGUUUUUUGCUGUUUAUUGAUACCUUCAAUCGACUCUCAUUCACCAUCGAUAUAUAACAAACUCCUUUCUUAACUAACCCCUCUACUCUAUAAACAUUAGCACAACUUAAUCUUCAGUUUAAUUGAAAUUAAGUAUCCCACAUUGUACAAAUACAAUAUAGCAAAUAUGAGUGGCUAGAAUAAUACAGCAUUAAAAGUUUGAGUUUUGAGUGUUAACCAAAUAUUUAAUAAGCUUUAUGAUUAGUAAAGGACAGUAAUCCUGAGACACGCUUAAUAGUCAAUAGCACCUUUUUGGUAUUAUUAUUUGAAUCUCGUGUAGUGUGACUCGCUUUCUAUAGCCUCAUUGAACUUUCCAUCAUUAUAGCAAAACUUUUAAUUCACAAUGCAUUACCGUUUUUGGAAUCAAUUCGCAAGACUCUGAUAUAUAUCGAGGAAUGGUUUAUUUUCAUUUUAAUUUAUAAGUGUGCCUCUGAACAAUUACGAAUUAUAGAUGUGGAUAUCAUUGACGUCUCAUUGUUAUUAUUUUUUACAUUGCUAGUGUGUUUCCUGCUUCUGUUAUAAAUGUUGCACAACUUGUAGAGCUAUUAAAAAAAAAUAUUAUUUUAGAUGUUUCUAUAAUAUCAAAUAUCGUUACGUAUCCAUCGAAUAAUUACAAGAAAUUAAGACUAAACCCAGAUUACAAACCUCUAAUCAAAUGCAACUGCUGAAUCCAAUCCCCCCACUUAACGUAUUGCUACAAUAAUCUGAUCCAGUGUUAUGCUACAAUUAUACACUAUCUCUGAAUUAACGUAAUGGAGCAUUAAUGAUUUUUAAAAAAG
Molecule: non-coding RNA, 1060 nt
Organism: Schizosaccharomyces pombe (fission yeast)
Lineage: Eukaryota; Fungi; Ascomycota; Schizosaccharomycetes; Schizosaccharomycetales; Schizosaccharomycetaceae
Source: the annotation of a GenBank genome assembly